RNAcentral lists this ribosomal RNA (253 nucleotides) under uncultured bacterium. Its description in RNAcentral is "partial 16S ribosomal RNA". It matches the Rfam family "Bacterial small subunit ribosomal RNA", at positions 524 to 776 of the family's 1533-position model. The record is from RNAcentral.
UACGAAGGGGGCUAGCGUUGCUCGGAAUCACUGGGCGUAAAGCGCACGUAGGCGGAUUGCUAAGUCAGGGGUGAAAUCCUGGAGCUCAACUCCAGAACUGCCUUCGAUACUGGCGAUCUUGAGUCCGGGAGAGGUGAGUGGAACUCCGAGUGUAGAGGUGAAAUUCGUAGAUAUUCGGAAGGACACCAGUGGCGAAGGCGGCUCACUGGCCCGGUACUGACGCUGAGGUGCGAAAGCGUGGGGAGCAAGCAGG